GACGAACGCUGGCGGCGUGCUUAACACAUGCAAGUCGAACGCUGAGGCUCAGCUUUUGUUGGGUGGAUGAGUGGCGAACGGGUGAGUAACACGUGAGUAACCUGCCUCCUUCUUUGGGAUAACGCCCGGAAACGGGUGCUAAUACUGGAUAUUCACUGGUCUUCGCAUGGGGGUUGGUGGAAAGGGUUUUUCUGGUGGGGGAUGGGCUCGCGGCCUAUCAGCUUGUUGGUGGGGUGAUGGCCUACCAAGGCUUUGACGGGUAGCCGGCCUGAGAGGGUGACCGGUCACAUUGGGACUGAGAUACGGCCCAGACUCCUACGGGAGGCAGCAGUGGGGAAUAUUGCACAAUGGGCGCAAGCCUGAUGCAGCGACGCCGCGUGAGGGAUGGAGGCCUUCGGGUUGUGAACCUCUUUCGCUCAUGGUCAAGCCGCAACAAUGGUUGUGGUGAGGGUAGUGGGUAAAGAAGCGCCGGCUAACUACGUG
This 483-nucleotide ribosomal RNA is filed under the name uncultured bacterium. RNAcentral describes it as "partial 16S ribosomal RNA". It matches the Rfam family "Bacterial small subunit ribosomal RNA", at positions 28 to 507 of the family's 1533-position model. The record is from RNAcentral.